AAAUGUAAAAGAAAGUGUUAAAUGUGUGGAGAAUUGCUGAGAGCUUAGCAAAUUCCUAUCAAGAUAUCCAUGUCUGCCACUUCAUUUCUGGCUCCCAAUUCGAAUACUCUCUAUUUUAACCAUUCCAAUUGUAGUAUCAACCACAAAACUCUUCUUUUUUCCAAAUCUUUCAACUCUAAAAUUACCACCUUUUCCUCCAAAUCCAAUGCUAAUAAUCAUCCCACCAACAACUGCAAUCUUGAAUUUGAAAAUCAAGAUUCUGGGUCAUCAUCAAACCCCAUUUCACAUUCAAGUUCAGGAAUUAAAGGCCCUACUGCUCCAUGGAUGAGGGGUCCUCUUCUUCUUGAACCUAAUCAAGUUUUGGACUUAUCCAAAUCAAGAAGGAAGAAAGAUGCCAACUUUGCUAAAACCCAAAACCCUAAUGAUGCACUUUCUGGUAAAGUUAGUGGAGGAAGAGGUAAAAAAGCAAUGAAGAAGAUUUAUCAAGGAAUUGAUAAACUCCAAGAAACGCAAAAUUGGGAAUUUACACCGGAGGAAACUGAUGCAAAGGUUGAAUUUCAGUUUCCACCAGGAUCUUUAGCUGAAUGGGAAGAUGUGAGCCAUGAAAUUGAGGAGCAAAACCCAUAUGGGAAGGAGGGCAAUAUGGAAAGCCUUGAGGAAGUGGAAUUUGAUAUAUUAUCAAGAGAGAGUGAAGGAAAGGGGAAUAGAAAAAUUGGGGUGAAAAUGCCAUGGGAGAGUGAGGAGAGAAUUGUGUAUAGGAAAAUGAAGAAGGAGAAAGUUCUCACGGCCGCUGAGUCAAAUCUUGAUGCAAUGUUCCUUGAGAGAUUGAGGGGUGAGGCUGCAGGGAUUCAGAAGUGGGUUAAGGUUAAGAAAGCCGGAGUUACUCGAGCUGUUGUAGACCAAAUACACUUGGUUUGGAAGAAUAAUGAACUUGCAAUGCUCAAAUUUGACCUGCCUUUAUGCCGUAAUAUGGACAGAGCUCGAGAAAUUGUUGAGAUGAAGACUGGAGGCUUUGUUGUUUGGAGGAAUCAAAAUGCUUUGGUUGUUUAUAGAGGAUGUAACUAUACUUCACAACAGAAGGAGCUACAGCAUGAUUUUCUAUGUAGUCAACAGAACUCUUCAUUUACUGAAAAUAUUAAAGAGACAAGUAUUUUCUCGCCAUUGAACUCAAGUGGGGGCAGUGAGGAUGAAAUGAUAAGUGGUGAAAACUCAGAAGAGGAUAGCCUAGCAAUGAAUGAGUCCCUUUAUGAGAGGGAAGCUAAUAGAUUAUUGGAUGACUUAGGACCUCGUUAUGUUGAUUGGUGGUGGCCAAAGCCUUUGCCUGUGGAUGCAGAUUUGCUUCCUGAAGUAGUUCCUGGAUUUAAGCCACCAUUUAGACUUUGCCCACCGCGUUCAAGAUCAAAGCUGACAGAUGAUGAACUUACACACUUGAGGAAACUUGCUCGUUCUUUGCCAACUCAUUUUGUCCUUGGGAGAAACAGAAAACUGCAAGGCUUGGCUGCAGCAAUCGUAAAAUUGUGGGAGAAAUGUCAUAUAGCAAAGAUAGCUUUGAAGUGGGGAAUUCCAAAUACUAGCAAUGAGCUAAUGGCAAAUGAAUUGAAGUAUCUUACAGGAGGAGUCCUUUUAUUGCGGAAUAAGUUCUUUAUAAUCCUAUAUAGAGGCAAGGAUUUUCUUCCUUCUCAAGUUGCAAGCCUUGUAGCUGAGAGGGAGGUGGAGCUCACAAGAUGCCAGCUUGAGGAAGAAGUUGCACGAUUCAAAGCAAUUGAAAAUCUUCCAAUCACUACUGAAGUAUCAAGGAGCAGUAGUAAUGUUGGGACUUUAUCAGAAUUCCAGACAAUUGCAGAACACGGAAAGGAGAAAUCUGAGGUUGAAGUUCAAUUAAUAUCUGAAAAGGAAAGAUUAGAAAAAGAACUGGGGAAUCAACAGCACAGCCUUUACAUUCUCAAGAAGAAGAUUGAAAAAUCAUCUAUAGCAUUGGGAAAGCUAAAUGCUGCGUGGAGACCUGCGAAACAGGAUGAAGAUAAAGAAAUCUUAAUACAGGAAGAGAGACGAUCUCUUAGGCAGAUAGGAUUGAAGAUGGACAGGAGUUUAGUUCUUGGGAGACGUGGUGUUUUUGAUGGUGUCUUAGCUGGUCUCCAUCAGCAUUGGAAGCACAGAGAAGUUAUUAAGGUGAUCACAAUGCAGAAAAUCUUUUCUCAGGUCAUUCAUACUGCUAAGCUCCUGGAAGCAGAAAGUGGUGGAAUACUGAUUUCUGUAGACAAACUUAAAGAAGGCCAUGCGAUAAUAAUUUAUCGGGGAAAGAACUACAGACGACCGGAAUUGGUUCCUCAAAAUCUUCUAAACAAAAGACAAGCUUUAUGUCGGUCCCUUGAAAUGCAGAGACUUGGAUCAUUGAAGUUUUAUGCAAAUCAAACGGAGCAGGCAAUCUCUGAUCUUAAGUGCAAGUUGGUAGAAUAUACAGUAAAAAUUGGCCAAAUGCAGGAGAUCUAAAAGCUUGUGGCGCCGUCAUAACUACUAUUUCUCUUGAUCUCUGUCUUGACAUGGUGUACAUACAUCAACGCGAAGAGAAUUCUCCCAUUAGCUAGCUGAGUAUUAUGGGUAAGUAAGGACUAUUGCUUUGAGAGCCCUUAAAUAAUGACCUUAAACUUGUUAAAUUUUGAGGUGGAAGUGCAUCUUGGGAUUUCACUUUUUGGAUAAUUGUGCAACUUGGAGAAGCAUUCAACGUCAACUUUGUGAUUCCCCUGAUGAGACAUAGCAGAUUUUCAGAACUGGAACAGUCGAAUUCUCAACCAUGGUGUAGUUCACUUAUCUGUAUCUUGUGUGGUGGACUUGCAUUUGAGCAAUGGAUUGAUAGAGUAAUACUGCUAACAUUACAGCAUAGACAAAAUUCAAAGAACUGCUACUUGUUGCAUGAUCUGGAAAAUACCUGUUGAAGCAUUAGGUAGGGUCACCUCUACACUUGAAAGCAACAAAACAGACAUUUGGAGGAGGGAGAAGAUGAACAUACUACAGGGAUUUGUUCCAUACAGCACGGAAUCGAUUGCAUUACAAGGUCCUGUUCUUAUCACUUAUUGACUUGUAAAAUUAAGUUCACUUUAGCAAAAUCGACAAGUGGCUACUCCACACUGCAGUAAAAGGUGGUUCUGAUGCAGCAUGAGAUGGGUGUUACCAGGAGGAUUCAUUGUUAUUUGGUGAUCAUCAAUCCAGGGCGUAGUGCACCUAUGGCUUUAUCCUUCAUUUACCACAAGACUAUGACAUAGGUGUUAGUGUAAUUUAUCAAAACAAGUGUGGUCAGGUUGUGGCUGCUCAUGUACAGAUGGAGACAGUACAGAUAUAAUUUGGACGCCAGCCUUGGACAUCGUUUACGUUGACACAUGCAUUGUAUGACUCAACUAGAUUAACUAAAUAAGUUAGAAUGUUUGGUGAGGCCAACAAAAAUCUGAAA
This is an RNA transcript of Solanum dulcamara, 3445 nucleotides long. It is a transcript of the gene named chloroplastic group IIA intron splicing facilitator CRS1, chloroplastic, with no coding region annotated. The transcript has 11 exons. Lineage: Eukaryota; Viridiplantae; Streptophyta; Magnoliopsida; Solanales; Solanaceae. The record is from RefSeq and is a predicted model, not a curated record.